This 427-nucleotide ribosomal RNA is filed under the name uncultured Halomonas sp. Its description in RNAcentral is "bacterial SSU rRNA". It matches the Rfam family "Bacterial small subunit ribosomal RNA", at positions 355 to 774 of the family's 1533-position model. The record is from RNAcentral. Lineage: Bacteria; Pseudomonadati; Pseudomonadota; Gammaproteobacteria; Oceanospirillales; Halomonadaceae.
UGGGGAAUAUUGGACAAUGGGCGAAAGCCUGGUCCAGCCAUGCCGCGUGUGUGAAGAAGGCCCUCGGGUUGUAAAGCACUUUCAGUGGGGAAGAAAGCCUUGGGAUUAAUACUCCCGAGGAAGGACAUCACCCACAGAAGAAGCACCGGCUAACUCCGUGCCAGCAGCCGCGGUAAUACGGAGGGUGCGAGCGUUAAUCGGAAUUACUGGGCGUAAAGCGCGCGUAGGCGGUCUGAUAAGCCGGUUGUGAAAGCCCCGGGCUCAACCUGGGAACGGCAUCCGGAACUGUCAGGCUAGAGUGCAGGAGAGGAAGGUAGAAUUCCCGGUGUAGCGGUGAAAUGCGUAGAGAUCGGGAGGAAUACCAGUGGCGAAGGCGGCCUUCUGGACUGACACUGACGCUGAGGUGCGAAAGCGUGGGUAGCAAACA